CCUCCAUUGCUCUAUGUUCUUUUCUUUCCUACAUUAUCGCAUAUGUAGGCUCCACGGGAACUUUUAAAAUCCAGUCCGAAGCCAAUGAAUAAAGUAUUGUUAUCUUUUCAAUUUCUUUAAAAUAAAUAAAUGUAACAUUAUGGUUAAAGUUACUUAUUAACACCAAUGAGGUAGGUUAGAACAUCUUUAAUAGAAGAACACAUGUUAGAAUAAAACUCUCAAUCUCUAUUUUUUUUUUCUAUUUUAGAGAUCUCUUUUAUAGAGAUGAGUUGGAGAUGGUCUUAGUGAUUAUAAUAUAUAAUCUCUCUUCUUAAAAAAAUCUAAGAUGUUUUUGGAUGAAAUCAUAAAUAUUUAGGAAGUUGCUUUUACUUAAAAAGUAUCAAUAAAAAUAUUGAUUAAAAUCAAUCUAACUAAUUAUAAAAUAAACUAUAAAAUGUAACUGGUUACACAAUUUUUAAUAAAAUUAAAAGUUAUUUAAGAAAUUAUAAAUAUUUUAUAUUUUGAAACAUCAAAAAUUCAUUUAAACAUCUUACAUUAUAAAAUAGAGUGAGUAUUAUUUAGUAUACAAAUUCAAACCUCAUUGAAAAAUGUUUAAAUUACAUUGUUUGAAUCUCACAUAGAUGAUAUACGGCCGAAAAACCUCAUAUUGACAACAGCUAUAUUAAAAAUACAUAUCAACGACAUGAAUCUAACGAGUCAACACAAUAAAGUUGUAUAUAGAAGACUUAAAAAUGGCAAAGGAAAUAGACGAAAUAAGAGGCUUUGAAUGGUGAUUGUCGUCCCGCCCCGCCCCGCAGUUAACAGUAACAAAAAUUUCUACAUAUACUAUAUAUCUAUAUAUUUUUAUAACUGUUAAAACCGCAGCACAGUUGAACCGCUUGUCCCGCACCACUCAAAUCGCAGUCACCAUUCGAAGCUAUUUAGUAAGUUCUUCUUCACUUUUAUAUAUAUGGAUUAUCAGGUUUAAACCGUAUCAACGAUAUGACUUCAGAUGAAGUGACUACAAACUUAAUACAGUAUUGAACAAUUUCUUUAAUAAUGAAAUUUUAAAAUAUUGUGUUCCAAAUAGAUUGUAUAUAUCAGCUAUUGUCCAUAUGCAUGCGAUAGAAAUCUUGUCCCUCGAUGCCGCCAGUAGUCGUGCCAUCGGCGUUAUGUACGUUCUGACAUCACCAAACUCAUUCAAAAGCCAUAAAAUAUUUACGUUAUGGCCUAUGGUCCUACGGAUACCAUAUAAUAUUAUGUGCAUACGUUGAGACUUACGCUAGAGAUUACGUGUAUUUAAGUUACUAUUUACAUUUAUAUGGGUUCGAGUUCCUAGGUUGUGUCAUGGAUAAACGUCCAUAAAUUGAUACAUAAUUCACCGAUACAUGUUAAAAUCAUGCAAGGUAUGACCGUAACUGCAAUAGCAGAUCCUGCCUUGUCGCAUAUGUUGUAAACACAUGGUCCAUCGUUCCUACUGUUUAGUUUAUUAGUUACAUAGGAAUUUGUCUUGUUUCAAAAAAAAAAACAAAAGAAAAAGGAAUUUGUCUAUAUUCCUCACGAAGUGCCGAAUAAUUACAGUGAUAUGCUAAAAAAGUUCACGAUACAAACCUACAAAUACUAAAAGAAAACCUCCAAAUAUUAGAUCAAUAAGUUCAUAUACAUUUUGAAAUCAUUUGAUUAUUUUCUUUAAGAAAAAAUGACAUAUAACGAAAAAUGGGAAUAAAAAUAUGAUAGAAUAGAAUUAACAUUUAGACCAUCUCCAAUCACACUCUAUAAUUUCCUCUAUAUUUCACUCUAAAAUAGAGUAACUCUAUUAUAGAGUUGAAUUUGUUCCAAUGAUUCACUCUAUAAUAGAGUUACUCUAUAAUAGAGUGAAAUAUAGAGUAUUUUUGUUUUUUCACUCUAUAUUUGGAGUAAAAAAAUAGGAUUACUCUAUAUUUCACUCUAUUAUAGAGUAACUCUAUUAUAGAGUGAACCAUUGGAGCAAAUUUAACUCUAUAAUAGAGUUACUCUAUUUUAGUGUAAAUUAUAGAGGAAAAAAUAGAGUGCCUUUGGAGAUGCUCUUACCCCCGAAAAAUGAACAAAGAAAAGAGAUUAGGGUUUAGAGAGUGGGGGUGGUUUCCCGUGGCCAUGCAAAUGUGUCAGCUUCGUGUCACAGUCUUUGAUGGACACCGACACACGAAACUCAUGUGAACUGUUCUUUCUCUUUAUUUCUUUUCUCAUUGGUUUCUUUUUCACUUUCUCUUCUGUUCUCGAGAAAAUCAACCAAAAUAGACAAAGUCUGAAAGGCAUAUAACAUUGUUUUAACACAAAAACAUUAAUGUUUCGGUUUCCUCUAAAAAAAAUGGGCAAAAGGACAAGGAUAUUCAUUAAACAGAACUUUAGAAAAAUACUAAAAUAAAAAUAUGUUGAACUAGUUUUUCCAACCAUUUAUCGUACGAAUUUGACUAGGAAAAAUGAUUCAUCACCAUCAUCCGAUUUUUUUCCCCCAUGUAAUUAUAUAUACAUUUUCACUCUUAUGAAAUAAAAAAACUUAUGUCUUCGUUUAAUACAUUUCUUUGAAGAUCACAAUGACUUUUAAAUUUAAUCGUUUUGAAAAGUUGGCCGAGUAUUUGAUAAAAAAAAGAAAAAAAAAAGUUGGCCGAGUAUUACUUGAACUGAAAGACCGUUUGAUACGACAUACCUGGCACGACUAACAAUAAUUUGACAAAUCAAGUACCAACUAUACAUUUAUACUAUUUGAUUGAUUUGCUUUCUUCGUCAAAUUGACUGAUUUAACUCAAUGGACCGUUUUGGUAACGUAUAUUAAAAGCUGAACCUAGUAAGACUUUGUUCAAGAGCGUGUUCUCUUUAGAUGUAAUGAUAUUAGUUGUCCUUUGAUGGUGCUUAACUUUAUUCGUGCAAUAACCGGAUGAUCAGACAGAGGCAUUGAAUGAUUCCUACUUUCCCGGUUCAGUUACUUUCGGUGUAGAGAUAAUUGAAAAAGGAGAAGUUGUUGGUAACAUAUAUUUUUUUUUCUCUGGACCAAUUCUUGUUUCCAAGAGGGCUUAAAGUAUCGAGGCCACGACCUGUCACAUACAACACAAUAUUCCAUACUUCUGCAUAAUUUACGUAAUCUUUUUAUUUUGGUUACUUAUUUGACUUAUCCUCCUAGUUCCUUUCAUACUCCCUCAUUUCCUAGUUCCAUAAUCAUUCCAUCAAUUCAAUUUGUAUUUAUUUAAUUAUAAAAUGUAUUAAUCAAUUUAAUUUUAUAGGUCUACUUGGAAUUGUAACAAAGUUUCAAACAUUCAUACAUUAACAUGAAUAACUGGUAGUGACUUAUAAAGGAAAAAGGCAAAAAAUAAAGUAUUCUGUAAAAAGUCAAGAAUGAAGUUGAAAUGUAUAUAAAGGAAAAUAUUUAUUUUUCCUCUUUGUUUUCUGGAGCAACGUAAAACAAGGGAUUCUUUUUCUUUUGAAUUUUUGACAUGCAUUCCACUAAAUACUGUUUAAGUUUAAUUUUAAAACAUUAAAAUUAUUAAUACAUCGUUGUAUUUAUCAUCAUUAUAUAUAUAUUUAUCUAUCCAAAAGUUAAAU
RNAcentral lists this long non-coding RNA (3555 nucleotides) under Brassica napus (rape). Its description in RNAcentral is "long non-coding RNA (BNAP_LNC006931)". The record is from RNAcentral. Lineage: Eukaryota; Viridiplantae; Streptophyta; Magnoliopsida; Brassicales; Brassicaceae.